GCACGACACCGGAGAGGGAGCCUGAGAAACGGCUACCACAUCCAAGGAAGGCAGCAGGCGCGCAAAUUACCCAAUCCCGACACGGGGAGGUAGUGACAAUAAAUAACAAUACAGGGUUCUUUUGGAUCUUGUAAUUGGAAUGAGUACAAUUUAAAUCUCUUAACGAGGAACAAUUGGAGGGCAAGUCUGGUGCCAGCAGCCGCGGUAAUUCCAGCUCCAAUAGCGUAUAUUAAAGUUGUUGCAGUUAAAAAGCUCGUAGUUGAAUUUCGGGAUCAAUAUUUCGGUCAUGCCGUUGGUAUGCACUGUUAUCAUUGAUUUCUCACCUUCUAAAGAACCGUAAUGCCAUUAAUUUGGUGUUACGGGGAAUUAGGACUGUUACCUUGAAAAAAUUAGAGUGUUUAAAGCAGGCUCACGCUUGAAUACAUUAGCAUGGAAUAAUGAAAUAGGACAUCCGAUUCUAUUUUGUUGGUUUCUAGGAUCGAUGUAAUGAUUAAUAGGGAUAGUUGGGGGCAUUAGUAUUCAAUUGUCAGAGGUGAAAUUCUUGGAUUUAUUGAAGACUAACUACUGCGAAAGCAUUUGCCAAGGAUGUUUUCAUUAAUCAAGAACGAAAGUUAGGGGAUCGAAGACGAUCAGAUACCGUCGUAGUCUUAACCAUAAACUAUGCCGACUAGGGAUCGGAUGAUGUUAAUUUUUUAAUGACUCAUUCGGCGCCUUACGGGAAC
RNAcentral lists this ribosomal RNA (722 nucleotides) under Funneliformis mosseae. RNAcentral describes it as "SSU rRNA". It matches the Rfam family "Eukaryotic small subunit ribosomal RNA", at positions 375 to 1097 of the family's 1831-position model. Lineage: Eukaryota; Fungi; Glomeromycota; Glomeromycetes; Glomerales; Glomeraceae. The record is from RNAcentral.